Molecule: ribosomal RNA, 498 nt
Filed under: uncultured bacterium
Lineage: Bacteria
Description: partial 16S ribosomal RNA
Rfam family: Bacterial small subunit ribosomal RNA
Source: RNAcentral
ACUCAAAUGAAUUGACGGGGGCCCGCACAAGCAGUGGAGCAUGUGGUUUAAUUCGAUGCAACGCGAAGAACCUUACCCAGGCUCGAAAUGUAAUGGGCGCAGUCAGAGAUGACUGCUUCCGCAAGGACUGUUACAUAGGUGCUGCAUGGCUGUCGUCAGCUCGUGCCGUGAGGUGUUUGGUUAAGUCCAGCAACGAGCGCAACCCUUAUCAUUAGUUGCCAACGCGUAAUGGCGGGUACUCUAGUGAGACUGCCUAGGUUAACUAGGAGGAAGGUGAGGAUGACGUCAAGUCCGCAUGGCCUUUAUGUCUGGGGCUACACACGUGCUACAAUGGUCGGUACAGAAGGCAGCAAGACCGCAAGGUGGAGCAAAUCCGUAAAGCCGAUCUCAGUUCAGAUUGUAGUCUGCAACUCGACUACAUGAAGUUGGAAUUGCUAGUAAUGACGUGUCAGCAACAACGUCGUGAAUACGUUCCCGGGCCUUGUACACACCGCCCGU